RNAcentral lists this long non-coding RNA (5622 nucleotides) under Homo sapiens (human). Its description in RNAcentral is "uncharacterized LOC100130256, transcript variant 3 (LOC100130256)". The record is from RNAcentral. Lineage: Eukaryota; Metazoa; Chordata; Mammalia; Primates; Hominidae.
GAAUACCAGUCUCCUGGCGGCGGCUGGCACAGCGGAGCUGCUCUCCAAGCAGCGGGGUUCCCAGGCUGGGAAGUUUGCAUUGCCGUUUCUUUGCGGGCGGGCGGCGAGCGCCGACUGCAUGCCACCUGCGAGAGGAAGAGGCCGGUGAAGUCUCACUCUGUUGCCCAGGCUGGAGUGCAGUGGCACGAUCUCGGCUCGCUGCAACCUCCACCUCCCAGGUUCAAGCGAUCCUUCUGUUUCAGCCUCUCCAGUGGCUGGUAUUACAGGAACACACCACCAUGCCUGGCUAAUGCUUCUCUUUCUAUAAAUGAAGACGUGAGGCCGUGUAAGCUCCAAGAGAGCAGGGAUCUUGUUUGUCUUGGUCACCGUGAUAUUUCAGCUGCUGACCCAGUGCUUGAAGCAUACAAUCUGGAGUCUCCACAACUUUCUUCAUGGAACCACCACCAGGCCCCUUCUGUAGGCUUCUUAUGGAGGCUGAAGGUGUCUACAUGGCAGCAUAAAAUAGUAAUUAAGGACUCUGGAGUCACUGCCCAGGCUCAAAUCCCUGCUGCAAAUUGCGAGGUCUUUGAUCAAUGAAGAGAAGUGUCCUUAGGUCCGGCUGCUGGUGUGAAGUAUGCUCUGGAGGUCUGACAUCCACUCUCCCUCAGACUUUCUAAUACGGCAGGAAUUCCGUCCAUGUAUACUCAAGCUAGAGUUGCCAGAUGAAAUGGAGGACAUGGCUGGGUGCGGUGGCUCAGCUCGGAGCAGUGGCUCACGCCUGUAAUCCCAGCACUUUGGGAGGCCGAGGUGGGCUGAUGGCCUGAGGUCAGGAGUUCAAAACCAGCGUGGCCAACAAGAUGUGCCAGUUCUGGUAAAUUUCCUAGCAAGCUUGAAGGAAGUGAAGGACAACUGCAAGGAAGGGCAGGAUGGAGCAUGCAGCCCACGUAUUCCCCAGCUUGGUGGGGCAGAAUGCGUUCUUGGCUCCUGAGGAAUGGGCAGGCAACGCACAGGGGUCCUGGGAAGAAAGGGAGAGAAUAUCCUGGGAGAGCCAUAGACCCUGGCACCCUCCUGUGGUCCUUCAUCAGGAUAAAUUUCUAAAAGAAGAAUUACUGGCCAAAGGAUUCCUCUUCAGUUGGAAACAGCAGCAAAGUUCACAGGUCGUGAGUGGAUGUAAAGUGGACGGAACAGGUUGUUGCCAGUCUAUUGGAGUAGGAUGGUAGAUGAGCAGUCCCGUUGGCUAACAGCAGGGGACCCUGGGGCACUCGUCUCCAGCUCUGCCUCACUCUUUGAGGAGCUAGUUCCAGUUCUACUGUGAGUGUGCAAGGGGCUGGUCAGCUGUAGCAAAACCAGCACUGGACAUGGGGGAUCAGAAGACCCCGGCACACAUAGUUCAAGUUGUGACACAUAUUGGUAUGUGACCUUAAGUGAAUCCCUUACCCCUCUGCUGCCAUGUUUUAUGUGUAAAAUGAUAAAGAGAGGGGUGGACUGAGGUAGUAAUUUUUAAUGGAGAACAUUGGUGUGGCAAAUUACACAUGUUCUGGCCUGAAGAUUCUGAGCUGCUCUCCUUGGAGUCACAUUCUUUCCCAGUGUGUGAACAUCUGUGUGCAGUGAGAGACAUGCCUGAUGGGGAUCUGUUGCCUGAAGCCAGUGUGAAGGCAGGAAAAGGCUUGUUGGAAUUUAAAUACGACCAAUCAAAAUGUGUUUAGGCUUCAAAGGAAAAAGUUCUCCAUAAAUACACCAGAAUUUCAUUCUAACAUGAUUCAUUCAUUCAAAGAGCACAGCUGCACAAGGGGAAGACAGCUGCCACAUGGUAACGCAGUCCUGUAAAGAGUCCCAUGUGGUGAGAGACGUGGUUGGGAGUGAGCUUGGAAGUGGAUCCCCAACCCUCGUCCCCAAACUGAGACUUCACAUGAGACUGCAGCUCUGGCCAACAGCUUCACUGUAACCUCACAACAGACCUUGAGCCACAAGCACCCAGCUAAGCUGCAGGGAGACCCCCUGAAACUAUUGCUACGGAAUAAAAGAUGAAAUGCUCCUGAUUAUUGUAAAUACAAAGUUGCAUGCAGGAUUGUGUAAAGACAAUGCCAGGUUGGACUGCCAGAAUGAGCCAACUGCACGUGAUGUGAUUCCCCCUGCAGAGAGCCUAUGAAUGGACGUGCAGUCAGGGAGGUUUCACAUCACCAAGAUUCCUAUCCUAGAAAGGCAGAUGUUCAUAGCUCUAGGAAUGGAAUGCGACCCUUGUGGAGAGCCUAUAAACGGAUGCAUGGGGGUGGGGCGCCUGUCCAUAUGGAUAAGAUAGGGCUAGAAACGCCCUCAUCUUGCCACAGCUCUUCUAGGCCUCUUUAGGGUUAAGGCAUACUCCCUUCUGAGAAUUUCUGGUCUAACUGGUUGUCUAGCUUCACAUCCUGUUUCCGUGGAUUGUUUGUAACCAGCUUUUGUUGCAAUUGUUACUGCUGAUUAAUAUCUUGCUAAUCAUAGGUUAUGGAAAGAUUGUGCUUCUGUUUUAAGGCUCUGUUAGAAAUUACUGACGCACACACUAUAUUGUAAAUUCUUAUCUCUCUAUGCUGUACUUCUACAUACAAAUGUACUGUACUUCUACAUACAAAUGUACUGUACUUCUACAUACAAAUGUUAUGUUAAUUACUUCAUCCCCAUGUGACCAUCUCACCUCAUAAUCAAAUGACCCUAAAUCCCUCACUAACCAACCCCCACCCUCACUUAACUUAAUAAUAAACGCUGGUAUAUCCAGAGCAUUGUUGGCACCAUGGGACCAGAAGGCGGUGACCCCCCUGGACCCAGCUUUCACUAUCUUGUGUGUGUCUAUUAUUUCCCAACCUGCUGAUCUGCCUGGGAACAAAGAGAGAGCCCCAUUGCAUUGUGGGCUGCUGACCAGAUCCUGAAGAUGCAUGCAACAACGAGACAGAGAAAUUUGCUGAAAAAGCACCACAGCAGGAAACAACUAACACAUCCAAUCAUCAAAAAGAAGAAAAGACCACGCUAACUCCUUUACAACAGACAAUCCAGACAGCCAUCCUGAACAACUUGUCUCCAGCGAUCCAGGUCUGGCUCAACCUCUGCCUCCUCCUGAUGACACUGAUCCUUCUACCUCUGUUACGCCACAGACUGUUAAAAACUAUACAUAUUGGGCCUAUAUUCCUUUUCCUCCUCUUAUUCGAGCCGUGACAUGGAUGGAUGCUCCUAUCGAGGUCUAUGUUAAUGAUAGUAUUUGGAUGCCUGGUUCUCUAGAUGAUCGUUGUCCUGCACAACCUUCAGAAGAAGGAACCCCUUUCAAUAUCACUUUAGGUUUUAGGUAUCCACCUUUCUGCCUGGGACCCACUAAUGUAUGUCUCUCAUUAGAUAUUCAAACUUGGGCUGUCACACUACCGUCUGGUCACUCUGUCCCUCCUUUAGGACACUUGAUAUCAGGGCUCUCAUUAAAACCUCUAAGGCAGAUCAAAACAGUAAUCACUGAUUAUAUUCACACAUCCCAAUAUAAGCCUUUAGACCUGUGUGUCCUCUCAACUUGUCUUCAAAUGCUGACAAAAUUAAUAUGGAAAGACUGUGUUAGCUCAGAAGGAACCGUGUUAUUUAAUUCUUCUCACUACACCAUUGUUGAUUGGGCUCCUAAAGGUCAUAUUACUAAUGAUUGCUCUCAAGGUCACAGAGAUUGUCAACAUUUUCUCUAUAAUAUUACUUAUCAAAAACGUAGUGACAGCCCUCCCCUAUUAUAUCGUAGAUUUAACUCCUUUUUUCCUCUUAAGUGGAAAGGGGCAGGGGUUGCGCCUCCAAAGCCAAGGCUCAUUGUUCCCCACAUAGGACCUGAACAUUCCAAAUUAUGGAGAUUAACAAUAGCUAUGACUGGUAUGAGAGUUUGGGCUGGAGAAAGUGUUAUAAGUAAAUCCACUUUGUCACCUCAAAAUGUAUAUACUCUCUAUAUGGAGUCCAACAAAACUAUACCACUUAAAAGUUGUGUUAAACCACCAUAUAUGUUAUUAGCAGGAAAGUUGCAUAUUAGUUCAAAAACCAACAUAAUUACCUGUGUUAAUUGUUACUUGUAUACUUGUAUUGACUCAUCCUUUAAUCAAUAUCAUAGUAUUUUAAUAGUCAGAGCCAGACAAGAUAUUUGGCUCCCUGUAGCCUUACAUAGGCCUUGGGAAUCUUCCCCCUUUAUCCAUGUUAUUAACAAUAUUCUAUAGAAAAUUCUUAAAAGGAGUAAACAAUUUAUUUUUACAUUAAUUGCAAUAAUAAUGGGCUUGAUUGCUGUUACUGUGAUUGCUGCUACUGCUGGAGUUGCAUUACGUCCAUCUAUUCAAACUGUUCAUUUUGUGGAUAAAUGGCAAAAAAAUUCUACUCGGAUGUGGAAUUCUCAGGUAUUGAUCAAAAAUUGGCUAAUCAAAUUAAUGAUCUAAGACAAACUGUUAUAUGGAUGGGAGGUAGAAUUAUGAGUUUAGAACAUAGAUUACAAAUGCAAUGUGAUUGGAAUACUUCUGAUUUUUGUAUAACUCCAUUUCAAUAUAAUGAGUCUGUUCACAAUUGGGAAUCAGUAAAAUGCCAUUUACAAGGAAGUGAAGAUAAUUUAAAGCUUUAGACAUAAGCAAACUAAAAGAACAGAUUUUUGAGGCCUCUCAAGCACACUUAACUGCUUUACCCGGUGCUGAAGUUUUAGACGGUAUCUCUGAGGGAUUAUCUAAUCUCAACCCCAUUCAAUAGGUAAAAUCUUUGGGAGGAUCCACUAUCGUUAAUUUUGUUCUGUGUAUAAUUUGUACUAUUGGUUUAUUGUUCAUGUGUAAAAUUGGAAAAAAUAUUCUUCAGUCCAAUUGUGAUCAGUGCCAAGCUAUGAUUGCUAUGGUUCAUUUAAAUCAGAGAGAAGGGGGAGAUGUAAGGAGACCCCCUGAAACUGUUGCUAUGGAAUAAAAGAUGAAAUGCUCCUGAUUAUUGUAAAUACAAAGUUGCAUGCAGGAUUGUGUAAAGACAAUGCCAGGUUGGACUGCCAGAAUGAGCCAACUGCACGUGAUGUGAUUCCCCCUGCAGAGAGCCUAUGAAUGGACGUGCAGUCAGGGAGGUUUCACAUCACCAAGAUUCCUAUCCUAGAAAGGCAGAUGUUCAUAGCUCUAGGAAUGGAAUGCGACCCUUGUGGAGAGCCUAUAAACGGAUGCAUGGGGAGGUGGCUGUCCGUAUGGAUAAGAUAGGGCUAUAAACGCCCUCAUCUUGCCACAGCUCUUCUAGGCCUCUUUAGGGUUAAGGCAUACUCCCUUCUGGGAAUUUCUGGUCUAACCGGUUGUCUAGCUUCACGUCCUGUUUCCAUGGAUUGUUUGUAACCAGCUUUUGUUGCAAUUGUUACUGCUGAUUAAUAUCUUGCUAAUCAUAGGUUAUGGAAAGAUUGUGUUUCUGUUUUAAGGCUCUGUUAGAAAUUACUGACACACACACUAUAUUGUAAAUUCUUAUCUCUCUAUACUGUACUUCUACAUACAAAUGUACUGUACUUCUACAUACAAAUGUUAUGUGAAAGAAUUACUUCAUCCCCAUGUGACCAUCUCACCUCAUAAUCAAAUGACCCUAAAUCCCUCACUAACCUACCCCCACCCUCACUAAACUUAAUAAUAAACGCUGGUAUAUCCAGUGCAUUGUUGGCACCAUGGGACC